Molecule: ribosomal RNA, 466 nt
Filed under: uncultured bacterium
Lineage: Bacteria
Description: bacterial SSU rRNA
Rfam family: Bacterial small subunit ribosomal RNA
Source: RNAcentral
CCUANGGGAGGCAGCAGUAGGGAAUUUUGGGCAAUGGGCGAAAGCCUGACCCAGCAACGCCGCGUGUGGGAUGAAGGCCCUCGGGUCGUAAACCACUGUCAGGAGGAAAGAAAAGCCGGCCGGGUAAUAUUCGGUCGGCCUGACGGUACCUCCAAAGGAAGCACCGGCUAACUCCGUGCCAGCAGCCGCGGUAAUACGGAGGGUGCAAGCGUUGUUCGGAAUUACUGGGCGUAAAGCGCGUGUAGGUGGUUGGGUAAGUCGAAUGUGAAAGCCCCGGGCUCAACCCGGGAAGUGCAUCCGAAACUGCUCGACUAGAGUCCCGGAGAGGAAGGCAGAAUUCCCAAUGUAGGGGUGAAAUCCGUAGAUAUUGGGAGGAAUACCGGUGGCGAAGGCGGCCUUCUGGACGGUGACUGACACUCAGACGCGAAAGCGUGGGGAGCAAACAGGAUUAGAUACCCUGNUANUC